CACAUGCAGUCGAGCGGAUGAGAAGAGCUUGCUCUUCGAUUCAGCGGCGGACGGGUGAGUAAUGCCUAGGAAUCUGCCUGGUAGUGGGGGACAACGUUUCGAAAGGAACGCUAAUACCGCAUACGUCCUACGGGAGAAAGCAGGGGACCUUCGGGCCUUGCGCUAUCAGAUGAGCCUAGGUCGGAUUAGCUAGUUGGUGAGGUAAUGGCUCACCAAGGCGACGAUCCGUAACUGGUCUGAGAGGAUGAUCAGUCACACUGGAACUGAGACACGGUCCAGACUCCUACGGGAGGCAGCAGUGGGGAAUAUUGGACAAUGGGCGAAAGCCUGAUCCAGCCAUGCCGCGUGUGUGAAGAAGGUCUUCGGAUUGUAAAGCACUUUAAGUUGGGAGGAAGGGCAUUAACCUAAUACGUUAGUGUUUUGACGUUACCGACAGAAUAAGCACCGGCUAACUCUGUGCCAGCAGCCGCGGUAAUACAGAGGGGGCAAGCGUUAAUCGGAAUUACUGGGCGUAAAGGGCGCGUAGGUGGUUUGUUAAGUUGGGAUGUGAAAG
RNAcentral lists this ribosomal RNA (553 nucleotides) under bacterium amp-w-5. RNAcentral's name for it is "bacterial SSU rRNA". It matches the Rfam family "Bacterial small subunit ribosomal RNA", at positions 52 to 601 of the family's 1533-position model. The record is from RNAcentral.